Molecule: ribosomal RNA, 252 nt
Filed under: uncultured bacterium
Lineage: Bacteria
Description: partial 16S ribosomal RNA
Rfam family: Bacterial small subunit ribosomal RNA
Source: RNAcentral
UACGGAGGAUGCGAGCGUUAUCCGGAUUUAUUGGGUUUAAAGGGUGCGUAGGCGGGCUGUUAAGUCAGCGGUCAAAUGUCGGGGCUCAACCCCGGCCUGCCGUUGAAACUGGUGGCCUCGAGUGGGCGAGAAGUAUGCGGAAUGCGUGGUGUAGCGGUGAAAUGCAUAGAUAUCACGCAGAACUCCGAUUGCGAAGGCAGCAUACCGGCGCCCGACUGACGCUGAAGCACGAAAGCGUGGGUAUCGAACAGG